GACCCCGUAGCUCAACUGGAUAGAGCAAUUGACUUCUAAUCAAUAGGCUGAGGGUUCGAGUCCUUCCGGGGUCGCCA
This 77-nucleotide transfer RNA is filed under the name Oceanicola sp. 22II-s10i. RNAcentral describes it as "tRNA-Arg". It matches the Rfam family "tRNA". From Rfam's summary of the family: Transfer RNA (tRNA) molecules are approximately 80 nucleotides in length. Their secondary structure includes four short double-helical elements and three loops (D, anti-codon, and T loops). The record is from RNAcentral. RNAcentral also lists the same sequence under 2 other names. Lineage: Bacteria; Pseudomonadati; Pseudomonadota; Alphaproteobacteria; Rhodobacterales; Roseobacteraceae.